Anguilla rostrata (American eel) is the source of this 458-nucleotide long non-coding RNA. RefSeq lists it as uncharacterized. The transcript has 3 exons. NCBI's taxonomy places the organism in Eukaryota, Metazoa, Chordata, Actinopteri, Anguilliformes, Anguillidae. The record is from RefSeq and is a predicted model, not a curated record.
AAGUACUUCCGUUGUCAAACCACAUACCACGUGACACAGGACAAAUAUAUCACUUUACACAUUUUCACGUUCUUUCGAAACCUGUGGCGUUUUACAGGAUAAGUGAUGAUAACUUUUUCAUUUUCAGACAUCCUGAAUCCGAAAGAAUUAAGUCCACCCAUUUCAAUAGGAAGAGACUUAAUAGCAGCUUAAAUAGGUAACAAGCUAGUUGUAGCCAAAGUCCCUGGGAAUACUCAGCACAGGACCGGAGCCAGCUCUGUUCUUUGGUUCAGAUGACAUCUCCAAGCUACAAGAGAGAAACGGAGAAAGGGGGGCAGAGGGAGAGUGAAUUUUCCCUACGAGCUGGAGCCCUGGAGGUGACGCAAUAAACACCUACGAGACGUGCGACGAAGGCGACGGUGUUCUAUAUGCUUAUGUGAUUUUAACUGUAAAUAAAUAAAUAAAUAAAUAAAUAAUCA